This 600-nucleotide ribosomal RNA is filed under the name uncultured Tricholoma. Its description in RNAcentral is "eukaryotic LSU rRNA". The stretch from base 260 to 413 matches the Rfam family "5.8S ribosomal RNA". The record is from RNAcentral. Lineage: Eukaryota; Fungi; Basidiomycota; Agaricomycetes; Agaricales; Tricholomataceae.
UGCGGAGGAUCAUUAUUGAAUAAGCUUGGUUGGGUUGUUGCUGGCUCUUAGGGGCAUGUGCACACCUAACACCAACUUUCUUACCACCUGUGCACUCUUUGUAGACUUUGGAAAAAAAAAUACCCACUCGGUUUUGAGGACUGUCAUGCGCAAGCUUCUGGCUUUCCUUGCACUUUUCCAGUCUAUGUUUUAUAAUAUACACCUAUAGUAUGUUUCAGAAUAUCAUUUAAUGGGCUUGAUUGCCUUUUAAUUUCUAUAUAACUUUCAACAACGGAUCUCUUGGCUCUCGCAUCGAUGAAGAACGCAGCGAAAUGCGAUAAGUAAUGUGAAUUGCAGAAUUCAGUGAAUCAUCGAAUCUUUGAACGCACCUUGCGCUCCUUGGUAUUCCGAGGAGCAUGCCUGUUUGAGUGUCAUGAAAUUCUCAACCUUUUCAAUCUUUUAUUGGUUGAAGUAGGCUUGGAUGUGGGAGUCUUUUGCUGGCUUCUUUAAGAGGUCGGCUCUCCUUAAAUUUAUUAGCGGGGACCUUUGUUGCCCUCAGUGCUUAGUGUGAUAGUUAUCUACGCUACCUGCUGAAAUGCAACUGAAAAAAAAGGGGUUUAC